Non-coding RNA from Cavia porcellus (domestic guinea pig), 458 nucleotides. The record is from the annotation of a RefSeq genome assembly. Lineage: Eukaryota; Metazoa; Chordata; Mammalia; Rodentia; Caviidae.
CCAAUGAGCUCAAGGAAUUCCUCCUGGGGAAGCCUCUCAGCAUAAUCAGAUUGAGCAUCUCUGCUGCAGAGUGGAGACAUGGAGACCCUCCUGCACGUUCUCCUGGGGAUUCUCGGGUUGCAGGCAGCCUGGGUCAGCAGCCAAGAACUGCGGCAGAGUCAGUCUCUGGUGAUUCUAGAGGGAGAAGAGCUCGCCAUAAACUGCAGUUCAUCAACAGCUUUAUACACCUUACACUGGUACAGACAGACUGAUGGAAGUCCUGUCUUCUUGAUGAUGUUACAGAAACGUGGAGAUGAGAAAAGCCAUGGAAAAAUAACAGCUAACCUGGAUGAGAAAAUGCAGCAAAGCUCCCUGCGCAUCACAGCCACCCGGCCCAGCCACUCAGGCACCUACUUCUGUGCAGGAAGUGCACAGUGAUCUCCGUGCCUCUGAGGGCUGUCCCCAAACCUGCAGCUGGG